Molecule: long non-coding RNA, 547 nt
Filed under: Olea europaea subsp. europaea
Lineage: Eukaryota; Viridiplantae; Streptophyta; Magnoliopsida; Lamiales; Oleaceae
Source: RNAcentral
CUGUGGCAUGUAUUUGUAGCUUGAUGAAUGGUGGGAACAGCCAGCCCCAACCGUUGUUGAUUGGGUUACUGUCGAUGGAGAAAAUGUCGCAGCAUGGCAAAAUCAUGUGAAGCAGCUUCUGGCAUUUUAUGACAAGUAAACUCUGCUUAAGAAUUUCAUUUUAUGGUCGGAAAAAGUGGUUUCUGGCUUUUCUUAAAUUGCUGUACCAUUUCUGGGAGUCUCGCGGCGUAAGAACUGCAAAUGGCAUUUACAAGAAGUUUUGAAAAAAGGAGUAAGGUGAAAGGAAUUUGAGCAUGCCCACAUCGGUUUUAUACCAAGUUGUCGUGUAUAUGAUUUCUUCCAUAGCCUACUUAUCUCUUCUGAUACGAUCAAGUUAAGGUCCCAGCCUCAGUUCUUGUACCAGGUAAUUGUAGGGAUUUGUCUUAUUUCUUACGUAACAACAGAUUCAGUGUGCUAAUUAAUUAAGAUGAAAAGGCGAUGACCUUAAGAGAGUGAAAUUGAUUAGUGUAAUUUUAUUUUUUUUCAAUUUUGUUAUACUAGAAUUCAA